This 2466-nucleotide unclassified non-coding RNA is filed under the name Cyanidioschyzon merolae strain 10D. RNAcentral's name for it is "hypothetical transcript". Lineage: Eukaryota; Rhodophyta; Bangiophyceae; Cyanidiales; Cyanidiaceae. The record is from RNAcentral.
GUGCUGUAGUUUGACGAAUGAAGGAGAUACCCGCACACUCGCUUACCUGCUUCCGGGAGCGAGCGCCAGUCGUGGAACCGAAAGCACCUGGGCAGUCAGUCCAGGUCUGAUGGCCUCGUUCGAGGUUGCUGGCGGAGCUACCGUGGUGCCCAGUGCCCCGCUUCCCAGCGACUCGAGUCGCCGGCCUUCAGCUCGCUGCCGGAUAUGCAAAUCGCUUUGCUCCCCAGGCGUUUCUAGAUGGUGGUUUCGUUGCAUACAGCCGUUCAGGAUGGCGUGCGCUCGGUAUCCGCACCGGCCGGGAUACCGAGCAGAAUCAGCUCAUCUUCGAGCAUCCAGCUGCGCAAGUGUCCAAGUCGACACGUGUGCGCACUCGAUGAACCACGCGUAAAGGCCGGAACGCUCCGCACGUCGUUUCCAAUGAAGCAAUUCGCAAUCGUGAUGAUAACCAGGUUGCAACGUCGCCCAAGCGCGUCGUCUGUCGUUGUCGCUUGGAGUAGACUGGAGAUCACCCGUCUGCCGCCUUCAACAAAGAGCGAGGGUGCACUGACCUCGGCGCGCCAGUCAGCCUCGCGAGGCACCAGCAGCAGCUCGUGUCGGCGCUGGCACCACAGGCGUGACUGUUUCAGGCCUGUAGACUCACGGGUGCCGUCGUGCGGGAGCAGGACCACUGGUCGAGGUUGCGUCCAACCUGGAGGCGUAUGCGUUCCCGGUAUACCGCAACGCACUGUGAGCAACGGGUCGUCUGAUACCAGGGUGUUCCACCCGACAGCAACUGCAUGAUGCAUAGCUCGAAGUGCGUGUGUCAGACGUUGCGCCCGGGGACUAGACAGUCGCAGGGGAGCGGCCCCGGUUGUCUCGCGAAAGUCGAUCCGCCCGUCAAGUGACUGGGCGAACGAUAGGGUCACGAACCAGGGCCGCUCCUCUUCAGCUGCAACUUUUUGGUGUUCAUAAACAACCCUCAGGAUGGUGUCCUCUGGCUCCGUUCCCAACUGUACCAGCCAGGGCCAACGAGCGGACGCGUCUCCCAGAACCCCCAUAACGGAGCGUGAGCGCCGCGCUGGACCUGGUCUUUUGUGCACCUGCGCCUUGGCUGGUUGCUCUUCGCCGACGCUGAGGGUUCAGCGCUGGCUGACUGGCUAACGGUUGGUUGGUUGAUUGUUUCCUCACUUCAGAAUACCGCACGAACGGCUGAAAUUGACGGCACUUCUUAAUCAGCGGUUUGGUUGCUAAAGCGUGUGUUGCAAAGACGUUCCUGGCACACACCCGGUGCGCCGGCUGAAGCGCUCUACUACCCGUGGACCGGCGAGAGCCAGCGCCGUACAAGUCGAGUUUGCUGGGCGCGAAGCGGUCGACUUUCUAUGGGAUCGGCAUUUUUUGCCUAGACAGGUUCUUCGUGGCCUGAUUGCUGUGCUUUAGAGGCUGCUACAGAUCAAGAAAGCCGACACUUCACGUCAUGUGGAGCGGCGUGAGAUUGUUGUACCAGUUCUUUACGUAUUGGAGGCAGGGACGGCGGUUGGAGAAACUGGUACGCCAGAGACUCCAGCAAGAAGUAACUGUUGCCCGCGCCUUACUGGAACGCGCUCAGGCGCAACACAAGGCACUGGAAGAACUUCAUCGUCUGAGCCGUAGCACGCUUGACCUGCUCCCUAUUCUCAAAAGCCAGUCUGCCGCACAGCAAAGCCUCCGAACGGCGGAGCCUGCUGCGACGAAACUGCAACAAGAGCGCACAAAAGCAGCGGAAAAGCCAGAAGAGGUCUCGCCGCUGGUCGCUACUUCUUUGGACCCGCGUAUGGCAGACGCGAUCAGAGCUGCAUCGAGCAUGCUCUUUCGGGAACUACGACACGUUCGUGACAACCACGGCACCGAUGGCCUACGUCGCUAUUUAGUGCAGCGCAUCCGUGAAGCCGGUAUGUCUCGGGAGCGCCUCGAGCACCUCAUGCAAAGCGUUGCAAGCGAGCCGGGAAACCCAGAUCCCGGCUCUGGGGGUUCAGUGGCGCAUCGGGAACGUUUACUUCAAGAGCUUGGUUGUGGGUCUCCAAAUAACGCUGUGCAAUCACCGAAUACCUACGAGCAGCAAAGUCCGACCAGUUGUAUCGAUUCAAGCAAACCGAAGCGGUAACGUCUCGCGCGCCCGAGCAGAGCGCUGCGGUCACGCUCUCCGUUUUCGAGCAAGAGGCGCUCACAGGGAGUCGCGCGUCUACAUGUUGCUCACGCAACUAUAUCGACGCGUUUCUUCCUUGGCAGAUGUCUUCGCGCAAACCAGACGAAUGUUGCACUUGGGAAGCUGGCGCUCAGUGCUUAGCGCCGCCGCCGCGGACAGGUCCCUAGCGCUGCGCAGGUGCGUGCCCGCGUCAGCUAGUCCGUGCGCUCCUCCGCGCCGCCUGAAGCGCCUGAGCCAACACCAACAGCACCACCACCACGCAAGUCAUCGAGCGCUCCCUUUUCCUUGGCCAGUCUAAAAACCGC